AGAUCAUUUUAUGAGGUCAUCGCUGUGACAUCUGUCACCCUAUUGAUUCAGCUGGAGUUGAUUCAGCUGACUUGGCUAGCUAAGUGGGCGUCUCCUCCCUCCUUCACUGCUCUGUGUGCAUCCCUCCUGAAACUGCAGGCCCUCAGUGGAAUAGGACAACCAUCCUCCAUAGAGGAUGACCAUUCUGUGGUAAAGGGUGUGAGUGGAUACGCUCCUCUGCUAGAACCUGAUGCAUUUUUUAAUUCCUUAUGAAUUACAUCCAAGUAGUAAACAAGGACUGG
This 281-nucleotide small nuclear RNA is filed under the name Castor canadensis (American beaver). Its description in RNAcentral is "7SK RNA (ENSCCNG00000005077.1)". It matches the Rfam family "7SK RNA". From Rfam's summary of the family: 7SK was discovered as an abundant small nuclear RNA in the mid-70s but a possible function has only recently been suggested. Lineage: Eukaryota; Metazoa; Chordata; Mammalia; Rodentia; Castoridae. The record is from RNAcentral.